GAUGAACGCUGGCGGCGUGCUUAACACAUGCAAGUCGAACGAAGCACUUUAACCUGAUUCUUCGGAUGAAGGUUUUUGUGACUGAGUGGCGGACGGGUGAGUAACGCGUGGGUAACCUGCCUCAUACAGGGGGAUAACAGUUAGAAAUGACUGCUAAUACCGCAUAAGACCACAGAGCCGCAUGGCUCAGUGGGAAAAACUCCGGUGGUAUGAGAUGGACCCGCGUCUGAUUAGGUAGUUGGUGGGGUAACGGCCUACCAAGCCAACGAUCAGUAGCCGACCUGAGAGGGUGACCGGCCACAUUGGGACUGAGACACGGCCCAAACUCCUACGGGAGGCAGCAGUGGGGAAUAUUGCACAAUGGGGGAAACCCUGAUGCAGCGACGCCGCGUGAGCGAAGAAGUAUUUCGGUAUGUAAAGCUCUAUCAGCAGGGAAGAA
RNAcentral lists this ribosomal RNA (439 nucleotides) under uncultured bacterium. Its description in RNAcentral is "bacterial SSU rRNA". It matches the Rfam family "Bacterial small subunit ribosomal RNA", at positions 28 to 449 of the family's 1533-position model. The record is from RNAcentral.